GUAGCGGUGCCGCAGCACCCACACCUUUUGUUGUUUGUUCUCUCGCCAUUGCGUCGACAUGAGCGCCCCUCUUACGGAGCACAACCUCUUCAGUGCCCUCCGAGAGUACGCCUCUAGGCUGGAGGUGCAGUACAUGAUCGAGGAGGAGGUGAAGAAGUUCCAGGAGAAGGUGCUGCCGCGAGUCUUGUCCGAGGCCUUCGCGACUGCGUCUCAUGCGGCAGCGGCGGAAUCGACGGCAAGUGGCGAUGCAGCAGGAGCAGCGAGUCGAACGGUCUCCUCGUCACCGCUAUCCAAAACCGCAGCACCGUCGCACGCAACCGCCACCCCAAAUUCCGACUGGGUUCGAACGUUCCUCAAGGCACAUGUGGAUGACGUGCUCAGCCGACAGCUGCCCCCCAUGAUUGUGCGUGAAGUGCAGCAACAGCUGCGCAACGCUAAUGGGAGUGCACUGGCUCCAUCUUCGUCAUCUGGCUCUCCGCCGUGCGGCGAGUCGUCGGUACCGGCAGCGGCUGCUCGAGCACGUGCAGGCUUGCCGCCGCUCCCGCCUUCUCCGCGUUCAUCACGGUCACCACCAUGUGAAACGACCCCCGUGCCAGCAGGGAGGAUUACACCCGAACAUCGAGGGGGCGGCAACAGAGACUUGACCUUGCUGGCCUCUGCCGCCGAUGACGAGGGUCGCCGGCAGCGCAAACAGAUCCUCAACGCCAUCGCGGAUAUUGAGCAUCAACUACAAGGCGUGCAACGUGAACUCGACGAGGUGGUGCACCAGCAGCGGCUGUCCCGGUGCCGGUUCGAAUACCUUUGCGAGACACUCCACGGGACGGGCUUAUCUUCAGCUGCGGAGAGCACGCCGUCGUCGCUGUGCGUGGCACUGGAGCAGGCGCUGGAUGAUCGAAAGGCGGACGUGGUGCGAGCGCGUCUCGCAGCCAUGCUCCAGGGUCUGCUGCCACCGCCGGCCGAGCCGCACUCUGGGAAGGGGGCGGAGAUUCGCAAUGAGGCCGCCUUAACACGCGGUAGCUCGCCAUCGCUGGCACCGCAGGACGGGCGGCUGCUCUCUGCCUCUCUCGCCUCCGCUAAGUCCUAUGCCGUGCCGAGUUCCGGCCACAAUACCCCGCCGCAGCUGCUGGAUCGCUCCCCUUCAUGCCUGCGCGGUGACGCGCAGUCCUCACCUCUCGUCACCACUGGUGCGGUCGAAGCACCGCCGGCGCAGCCGCCGUACUCUUCAGGAAUGCCUCCUGUAAACUCGGCCCCCGCGUCUGCGCGCACCCUAACGUACGCCCGCCACGGCGAUGCGUCUGCGGCAGUUGCAGGCGCAGUUCGGCCCGCGGCUGCUGCUCUAUCGAGAGCGCACCGCUCCAUCACGACACGCGGUACCGCAGCGUCAGCCGCAGCCGCUAAAGUUGCAUCUCCACCGCCACCGCCGCCGCCGUCGGUGGUGACGACCAAUGAGACAGCACCACCCCCUUUACCUGUACUCCGCCAGAAGUCUCGUGCUCGGCCCGAUGCGGAUGGGGUAGUCUCGCGGCCGGCGCCUCUGCCACAGGCGUGUGCUGACCCGAGCAUGCGGGAGAGAGCUGCUAGGGACACGCACGCAACGACCUCGAUGCGAAUGGCGGACAGUUGUGCCACGGGCGCGACCACCACUGCCCCUACGGCAAACUGCACCGACCCUUCCAACGCCUGUUUCCGCAGUUCUCUAUACCACAGCGUAGCAUCCUCCUCCAUCACCUCUGUCGCAUCGCCGAGAGAGGCCGCCGCUGCUGGCGGGGCGCCCCGCGCGAUGGUGCUGGGCAUCGACGCUGUGGAUAUCCCCCCCGGCGUGCUACCCGGCGCACUAGGCCGACAAGGGGCAGUACGCGUGGAGUCUGUUACCCCGCUGCAACUGGCGGAGCGCGCCGGCGUGUGCCGCGGCGACGUUCUGCUUUCGGUGGCGAAUCGCCCUGUCGGCAGCUGCGAGCAGAUGCGGGCUGCGCUAGCAGCCGUGCGGGCGACGCAGACGCCGGUGACACUGGAAGUCUACCGGCACACGAUUCAAGAGAUCGUCUUCAUCACGCUGCAGAUGUAGGGCGACAGAUACAUACGUGCGCAUGUGCACUCUGUGUGUAUACAUGUGCGUGUGUGGUCGCCCAUCUGCUCAACAGUCCAGCACUGUAGCCGCCGCUGGCAGGGGAUGGAGGGUGAGCGGAGGCGCUGAGACCAGUUCGUUUCCUUGUUCGGAUUGACAGGCAUCAGGCCAUGCUUCCGCAGCAUCCGCCGACCUCCCUCUCCUCCUCUGCAUCCUUCCUCCACACGAGCGCACAAGCACUGACAUGUGUACGCGUGUCCGCGCACCGCAUAGAUGGCGUCCAGCGCAAAGAAGCUUCGCCAUUGCCCUUCCCCAUCGGGAGGUUUACAUCCUCAAGCGCCGCCGCAACACUGACGCACGCAAGAACACACACACACAUGCACACACACACACACACAUAUAACAAACGCCACAUAACAGCGGUGCCAAUGGUGAGCCAGCCUCGUGAGAUCAGCCAGUAUAUGAAGGCAAUGCGGCACAGGCGAUGGACCAUCCGCGUUACCAGACGCGGUAGUGUCUCCCUCGUCUACCUGUCUCUUUCCUUCUGCAUGGCCAAAUAACUGAGGCUGCUUCACUCUUCAUCAUCGCACCCCCGCAUCACUGCUGCCGCCAUUGUUCUCUCUCUCUGCUGCGCUUUCCGCCCUUUUCCACCUUGCACUGUUCUCUUCUCCCCCCCCCCUCUCCGUUGCUGCGCUGCGAUACAG
Molecule: unclassified non-coding RNA, 2769 nt
Filed under: Leishmania donovani
Lineage: Eukaryota; Euglenozoa; Kinetoplastea; Trypanosomatida; Trypanosomatidae
Description: gene:LdHU3.10.0290(CDS-product:hypothetical_prote in_conserved)
Source: RNAcentral